This 2214-nucleotide long non-coding RNA is filed under the name Malus domestica (apple). Its description in RNAcentral is "long non-coding RNA (MDOM_LNC015838)". Lineage: Eukaryota; Viridiplantae; Streptophyta; Magnoliopsida; Rosales; Rosaceae. The record is from RNAcentral.
AUCAACAAAGGAGUUAUAAUCGAAGAACGAUUCCUAAUCAACGUAAGACUCCUAAUUGAAGAGGGAUUCCUAAAAGAAUGAAGAUUCCUACUCAAACAAGGUUUCGUACUUGAAGUAGGAAAGUUAAGCCUAAAGUUUCCUAUUUUGGGUUAAUCUUUCGUAAACCUAAAUGGCCUUAAGUUCCAAUAACUUUGAAGGUUCCUAAGCAUUGGAAGACACAAAACAAAGGUUCUAGAGCACCUAGGAGCCUUUACCGCACCUAUCCCUUUUAGAAACCCUUUUCCUUGCCUUGCAAGGCAUUCUAGAAGCCCAAUCCCUUUCCUACAUAUCUGCCGCACCUUUUAAGCCUUUUCCCCUUUGGAUUUUAAUUGUUUGGGCCCUAAUCCUUAUUUUCUACUAAGUCCAAGUCCUAACCUGAUUUCCCUAGGGUUUUAUGUGCCUAUAUAUACUCAUAUUUCAUUCUUUGCCGAACCACCACCUCCCAUAUUCACAAUUCACGCCAGAAACUCAUCACCACUCUCUACCGCAGCCAUCCAUCACCAUUCUCCAUUGUUUCUGAUCUAAAACAUCAUUUGCCACACCAUACACCUAUCCUAGCCUUAAUCCCAUCCUUCUACACCAUUCAUAACUCCCAAAACCUGACCCUAAACCUUGUGCCGCAACAAAGAGGAAGGAGGGAAGUUCAUAGACGUGUUUGUUGUUCAGUUUGGAUCGCUGGAGUGUCUAGGUGUUUUCUUUCUUGUGUUUUCAAUGUCUAAAUUUGUUUAUCUUUGCUUUGUGAGUAUGAGGAACUAAACCCCUCUUAGCUAGGGGGAAUUCGAAACCAUGUUCAUGCUUGCAAUAUGAUUUGAUUACUUUCAGUUGUGAUUCAUAAGUUGUGAAUUCAAUUUACUUAUCCGUUUGAAUUAAAACUGAUUUGUGUGUGUUGGUUGAGAGUGCAUGCUUAAUUUUCAUGCAUAAAUAUGAUGCUAGGAUAUAAGGGAGUUUCACCUAAUCGUUAUGAACGUAUAUUCACAAGUAGUGAAGGUUGUUAGUUACAAUCGCAUUAAGUAAAUUUUUGGCAUAAGUUUCAUGCAAUUCAUAGUUACAAGUGCUUCGUCAAUGCUUAUGAUUUUCAUAGAACUUAAUGAUUCUUGCUUGUAUCUCUAUUAUGCAAUUCAUGUAGGGAACUUGUGGGGAAUGCUUUGGGUUGUUGUAUGCAAUCAUCCAAUUCAAUGAAAUUAGGAAAAUCUGAGGGUUAAUUAGUGCAAUUCACGGUUAAUCUGGGGCGUUGAGAAUUCAUGGUUUAUUGAAAAGCAACUGGAAAUCAUUUUGUUUGCAAGUGUGUCAUGUGUGGAGAAAAACCUCCUAGCUAGCCUAUCAUCCAUAGUUUUACCCAAAUUCGUGCAGAUUUCAUUAGUUCUUUAAUUUACUUGUUUUGUUUCCAAAUUCGUCAAAACCAAACCCCCCCUUUACUUUAGAGUGUCUAACAAGUUAGAAUAUGUUUUAGAUUGUGUUUUUAAGUGUUUUGAGUCAAGGAAAAACCAAAAUUCGUCAAAAAUUGUGUUUAGAGUCCAAAUCUGCCCAGUUUGUGUUUUUAGGCAGAUUUGAGCGUUUUUAGCUUGUUUUGAGUUCUUUGAGUCUAGUUUAGUGUUUUUAACUUUGUUUAUAUGUUUUUAAGUCAAUCUAGAGGUUAUUAGCAAGCCCUCCUAAUCCCCGGUCCAGAACGAUCCCUACUUACAUUCUUUACUACAAUUGAGACAAGAGGGUUUAAUUUGUGUGUUUAUAUAAUUCACAUCAAAUUUUUGGCGCCGUUGCCGAGGAUUAGCAACUUUGCUAAUCCCUUGUUAUUUAUUUUGUUUAUUUUCGUGUGUUUUAUGUUAGUUACUGACCUUGUUUGUUUUCUUGUUUUAGGUACUAGUUUUUUACUCUGAGUUCUCAUCCGGUUCGUGAACAUAUCUUGGACUUUGACGACGAUUUUGAGAGGACUUUGAGAAGGAAUAGGAAUCAGCAAGAUCAUAACCCAUAUAUUCCUAAACCUGAGUUUGAAGAACAUCCACUUGAAGAAGAAGAUGAGCCCACAGCAUAGGUUGUAGAGGAAGAUCCCAACAUGGCAGUGAACAAUCGAACAAUCAAAGAGCUUUCCACUUCGAGAUUGGACAAUGUCGUUCCCCUAUGCAUCCAAUACCCCAUGGCUACCCAAGGGAAGACGGACGAGUUCGAAUUGAAAUCAAG